AUGGCUGUCGUCAGCUCGUGUCGUGAGAUGUUGGGUUAAGUCCCGCAACGAGCGCAACCCUUGUCCUUAGUUGCCAUCAUUAAGUUGGGAACUCUAAGGAGACCGCCGGUGACAAACCGGAGGAAGGUGGGGAUGACGUCAAGUCAUCAUGGCCUUUAUGACCAGGGCUACACACGUGCUACAAUGGUAGGUACAGAGGGAAGCCAACGCGCGAGCGGGAGCCAAUCCCAGAAAACCUAUCGUAGUCCGGAUCGGAGUCUGCAACUCGACUCCGUGAAGUCGGAAUCGCUAGUAAUCGCAGAUCAGCAUUGCUGCGGUGAAUACGUUCCCGGGUCUUGUACACACCGCCCGUCACACCAUGGGAGUUGAUUGCACCAGAAGCAGGUAGCCUGACCGCAAGGAGGGCGCCUACCACGGUGUGGUCAAUGACUGGGGUGAAGUCGUAACAAGGUAGCCGUACGGGAACGUGCGGCUGGAUCACCUCCUUUCAAGAGAUAGAAGCGCCAAUAGCAAAAGCGCGAGUUCCCUCACAAGUUAUCUGCCUCGAGUGAAGCGGCGGCCCGCAAGCUCUAAACCAUCGGGCUGCAGAAGUUUGGGUCUGUAGCUCAGUUAGUUAGAGCGCACCCCUGAUAAGGGUGAGGUCGGGGGUGCAACUCCUCCCAGACCCACCAAACGUAAACUUACGGGCACGGGGCCAUAGCUCAGCUGGGAGAGCGCCUGCUUUGCAAGCAGGAGGUCACCGGUUCGAUCCCGGUUGGCUCCACCAGCACACCCUGCCGCACUCAAUAAACACGCACGACCAACAGCGCGAUGACUCGAGCGCAUGUUUGAAAUCGAACAUGAUUUCGUGUGAUCGCGCGGUGCCGCCAACGGCAUCGUGCUGCUCUUUAACAAUCCGGAAAUUUCUUGUUUUGACGCCCAUUUUUCAAGCGAAAUGUAAUUUCGAAUGGAAAUGUCGCGUUCGCAAUAUGAUGAAUCAGCUCCAUAUCUCCAAACUCCUUGGGGUUAUAUGGUCAAGUGAAUAAGCGCAUAUGGUGGAUGCCUUGGCGGUAGAAGGCGAUGAAGGACGUGGUAGCCUGCGAUAAGCGUCGGCGAGCUGGCAAACAAGCUUCGACCCGGCGAUUUCCGAAUGGGGAAACCCGG
RNAcentral lists this small RNA (1143 nucleotides) under uncultured Sinobacteraceae bacterium. RNAcentral describes it as "bacterial SSU rRNA". The stretch from base 1 to 488 matches the Rfam family "Bacterial small subunit ribosomal RNA", at positions 1045 to 1533 of the family's 1533-position model. Lineage: Bacteria; Pseudomonadati; Pseudomonadota; Gammaproteobacteria; Nevskiales; Nevskiaceae. The record is from RNAcentral.